UUCUUUUUAGGUGACAGCCCCCGUGGAACUGCUGUGGCACAAGAGUGCCUGUGGCAUGGAGCUGGCGUAACCACCAUCCCAAAGAGCCCUAGGAGUAGGAGUGGCUGGCUAGGGAAUGAGGGUGUGACUGGAACACCGUAACUCUUUCCAGAUUCCAGAAGGUAAUUGGGCACAAGGUCCUGUUUUGGAAUAGAAGGAUGUGGAAAAGGCAGGAUCUCAGACGGUAUUUUGUGGGGAAUUGAAGGCCCAUCUGUAUCACAGACCACACUGUUGUGAUGCACAGUGUGCCAAAAGACCAAGAAUGGAACAGCUCACUGAAUCCAUGAAGCAGCAAGUGACAUGGAUUAGAAUAGACACCUGAAAGCAUUAAAUUGACAGUCUGUUUUUUCUUAUCCUUAUUUUUAAGAAUUCACUAUGCAGAAGAAAUCAUUUAGACAUUAAAACUGAAGUCAGAUUUCUCCGCACAUUUUAUUGUAUUUUCCUAUG
Long non-coding RNA from Mauremys reevesii (Reeves's turtle), 486 nucleotides. RefSeq lists it as uncharacterized. NCBI's taxonomy places the organism in Eukaryota, Metazoa, Chordata, Testudines, Geoemydidae. The transcript has 3 exons. The record is from RefSeq and is a predicted model, not a curated record.